Lolium perenne is the source of this 2086-nucleotide non-coding RNA. Lineage: Eukaryota; Viridiplantae; Streptophyta; Magnoliopsida; Poales; Poaceae. The record is from RefSeq and is a predicted model, not a curated record.
UCAAGGCGGAAAGAGAACUUGUUGGCAAGCUGCUGAUGAAGGGCGAUCACCGUUUGGGACACUCCAGUGUCAUGGACAUUGUAAAUGCAGCAUGGCAUGAUACCGGCUGUUGUACAUGCACAUUAACUUCCAUUUCAUCCAUUUACUUUUACUACCCAUUAAUCGUUUGUUUUUCUACGAUUGCUAUUUAUUGACAGUUUAUGCAUCUUCCUGAUUGUACAGAAACUUAUAAUGCAGUCUUCUCAGUUUUGCUAUGAAAGGAAUUGCCAGUAUCAUGCCUUUUCUUAUGUUACCAUGUUACCGGUCAUAUACUUAGGAUUACUUUUCUUCAUUCGUGCAAAUCAGACAUCAAACAUACUAUGGUAUUAAGGGAUCGCUUAGGUGGUAAAGCGCCCUUUCAGCACCUUGGAAUUGCCCCCCUUAGGUGCUUAAACGUCAUACCGGCGGUAGAGCAUCUUAGGACGUAUUAGUGCCUUUAAAACCUUGAAAUAUAAAUGUUAAUACCACUACCAAUCAUUUACUAAUUCUAUUUUGAUCAUAUUAUGUGCUAGAGGGAGGCAUAGCAGUGAACCGAAUGGGGACAGAUACAUGGAAUCUAAUUUGAAAAGCUAAGGUGCCGCCAUAAGUGAGUUUUUAGAUGGAAGCUUGCAAGAAAUACUCGGUGUGCAGGCCCUUCGUCUUUGCAACAGCGCAACCCUCAUGACAGAGGGUUUGCUGCAGCGCUGCUGGGUGUCGAGGUAGUUUGCGUGAGGCCGGUUUGGGCAUUAUCCACUGCCUCCUUCAUUCUCCAGACCAAGCCCACCACCAUGAAGAAUAUCAAGUGCAUAUUUAAUGGAAAUGGAAGACAUUGGAAUAUCUUGUCUUAGCCGCAGAGGGUGGUGUAUCUGUAAAUAUAGACAGUGAAUUUGAUUUGGAAAAUAUUACUACUGAUGCUGAGUUGCAGGAAACAAAGUGCCUGAACAUAUUACCACAGGUGCAAUUAUCCCUCCUCCCAAAGUGGAUUGUUUAUUUCAUUAUGGAAUCCAUUUUCCCCAUUAUGUUUACUUGGCAACCAUAUAUUGAUCUCCGCGCUCCUCCCUCAUGCUACAUUGUGGUUCCACUAUUGGCAGCAGUCUGAUUGACCCUUGCGGGGUGAGGGAGUAGACAUUGGUGGAUAUCGGAGGGCAUGAGCUCACGGUGGUCGCCCAGAUUUCAACAGCUUCGACAGAUAGAGAAGUAUUGCAGGUUUGUUCAAAGUAAACCACGAGUUCAUGAUGUACAUGAUUGGACCUGAGCAAAGAACGGGAAGCAGUGGCGAUGGCGUUGUGACAGUUCCCGCUUGAGCCGCCGAGUAAUAUCACCACCGUUCCACUGUUUAUUGAUGCCAUUGAUUGCCAUAUCAAAGGAGUCUAUCAUAAAGGUCUGAAGGUCCGUUCUGAAUAAUGAAGCCCUGUAAACUAUAGUCUGUUGUUCAGUUUGGAGAUUUUACAUCUCUGAUGACAGCGGCAAGCAUUGGUGUUUCUGGUUCCUACUGCAGUAAGGGAAAGGAUCAACAUACCAGAUUUGUCAAUGAACGAGAUACUCAGGCAUAAUCUACUAGCCCUCUCCUCCUUUUCUCAUGGUCCGCUCUCUGUUUAUUCUGGCUCUUGUUUGACUUGCUUGAAGUGCUUAGUGUGGAUAUGGUGCUAUCGGGAUAUUGAGGAUCUGUACCAAAUUUCUGCGCGGGAAGUGUACACUAUAUAGAAAAAUGUUCGGAUAUUCCCACGAACAAUGAUGCUUGGUCAUAUGCUGAAUUGUUGAUGCAACUUGGAUUUCCACGGGCUGAAUAUCCACACAAGGUAAAUCUUGGGACGAGCAGCGGAUGACUCAUGCCGUGGAUUGUUGUGGUUGAUGGCGUGGAUGGAUGUGCUUGAGUACUUGGUCAGCGGAUUAGAUGGAGUGGAGGCAACGAAGGGAGAUGUAGCAGAACAAGGCAGAGGGUUAGGGAGAUGAGUUAACAGGAAUAGACUGGACCGUUAACUCAAAUCGUGAUGGGAUUGGCGGUAUGAUCCAAGAAUAGUGGUGAAAAUUCUUUACGCAGAGGUCAAACAUUUGUGUAGUUUCUGAU